GAUGAAGAACGUAGCGAAAUGCGAUACGUAAUGUGAAUUGCAGAAUUCAGUGAAUCAUCGAGUCUUUGAACGCACAUUGCGCCCCCUGGUAUUCCGGGGGGCAUGCCUGUCCGAGCGUCAUUGCUGCCCUCAAGCACGGCUUGUGUGUUGGGCCUCCGUCCUCCUCCCGGGGGACGGGCCCGAAAGGCAGCGGCGGCACCGCGUCCGGUCCUCGAGCGUAUGGGGCUUCGUCACCCGCUCUUGUAGGCCCGGCCGGCGCUUGCCGACACAUCAAUCUUUUUUCCAGGUUGACCUCGGAUCAGGUAGGGAUACCCGCUGAACUUAAGCAUAUCAAUAAGCGGAGCA
RNAcentral lists this unclassified non-coding RNA (345 nucleotides) under soil metagenome. RNAcentral's name for it is "partial contains 5.8S ribosomal RNA, internal transcribed spacer 2, and large subunit ribosomal RNA". The stretch from base 1 to 120 matches the Rfam family "5.8S ribosomal RNA", at positions 35 to 154 of the family's 154-position model. The record is from RNAcentral.